AUUGAACGCUGGCGGAAUACUUUACACAUGCAAGUCGAACGGUAACAGGUUAAGCUGACGAGUGGCGAACGGGUGAGUAAUACAUCGGAACGUGCCCAGUCGUGGGGGAUAACGUAGAGAAAUUUACGCUAAUACCGCAUACGAUCUAAGGAUGAAAGCGGGGGACCGUAAGGCCUCGCGCGAUUGGAGCGGCCGAUGUCAGAUUAGGUAGUUGGUGGGGUAAAGGCCUACCAAGCCGACGAUCUGUAGCUGGUCUGAGAGGACGACCAGCCACACUGGGACUGAGACACGGCCCAGACUCCUACGGGAGGCAGCAGUGGGGAAUUUUGGACAAUGGGCGCAAGCCUGAUCCAGCCAUUCCGCGUGCAGGAUGAAGGCCCUCGGGUUGUAAACUGCUUUUGUACAGAACGAAAAGGUCUGGGUUAAUACCCUGGGCUCAUGACGGUACUGUAAGAAUAAGCACCGGCUAACUACGUGCCAGCAGCCGCAGCAA
This 493-nucleotide ribosomal RNA is filed under the name uncultured bacterium. RNAcentral describes it as "partial 16S ribosomal RNA". It matches the Rfam family "Bacterial small subunit ribosomal RNA", at positions 30 to 523 of the family's 1533-position model. The record is from RNAcentral.